AAGGCAGAAGGCGUUAAGAAGGAGCCGACCGCCAGCUCUGCAGCGUCCAGCAGCCCCGGAGCGAGCAGCCGCAGCCAGCGACCAACAUCUGGCAGCCUGACCUGAGACCAGCACCGUACCACUGACUGUAUCACAGAUUCCAUAGGGAGAAAUAUACGACAUCUAUUUUGUUUUAA
Molecule: non-coding RNA, 176 nt
Organism: Nothobranchius furzeri (turquoise killifish)
Lineage: Eukaryota; Metazoa; Chordata; Actinopteri; Cyprinodontiformes; Nothobranchiidae
Source: RefSeq, a predicted model, not a curated record